CCUACGGGGGGCAGCAGUGGGGAAUAUUGCACAAUGGGGGAAACCCUGAUGCAGCGACGCCGCGUGAGUGAAGAAGGAUUUCGGUACGUAAAGCUCUAUCAGCAGGGAAGAAAAUGACGGUACCUGACUAAGAAGCCCCGGCUAACUACGUUCCAGCAGCCGCGGUAAUACGUAGGGGGCAAGCGUUAUCCGGAUUUACUGGGUGUAAAGGGAGCGUAGACGGCAGCGCAAGUCUGGAGUGAAAUCCCAUGGCUUAACCAUGGAACUGCUUUGGAAACUGUGCAGCUAGAGUGCAGGAGAGGUAAGCGGAAUUCCUAGUGUAGCGGUGAAAUGCGUAGAUAUUAGGAGGAACACCAGUGGCGAAGGCGGCUUACUGGACUGUAACUGACGUUGAGGCUCGAAAGCGUGGGGAGCAAACAGGAUUAGAUACCCGUGUAGUC
Molecule: ribosomal RNA, 440 nt
Filed under: uncultured bacterium
Lineage: Bacteria
Description: partial 16S ribosomal RNA
Rfam family: Bacterial small subunit ribosomal RNA
Source: RNAcentral